RNAcentral lists this ribosomal RNA (490 nucleotides) under uncultured bacterium. RNAcentral's name for it is "partial 16S ribosomal RNA". It matches the Rfam family "Bacterial small subunit ribosomal RNA", at positions 30 to 507 of the family's 1533-position model. The record is from RNAcentral.
AUUGAACGCUGGCGGCAGGCCUAACACAUGCAAGUCGAACGGUAACAGGAAGCAGCUUGCUGCUUCGCUGACGAGUGGCGGACGGGUGAGUAAUGUCUGGGAAGCUGCCUGAUGGAGGGGGAUAACUACUGGAAACGGUAGCUAAUACCGCAUAAUGUCGCAAGACCAAAGGGGGGGACCUUCGGGCCUCUUGCCAUCGGAUGUGCCCAGAUGGGAUUAGCUUGUUGGUGGGGUAACGGCUCACCAAGGCGACGAUCCCUAGCUGGUCUGAGAGGAUGACCAGCCACACUGGAACUGAGACACGGUCCAGACUCCUACGGGAGGCAGCAGUGGGGAAUAUUGCACAAUGGGCGCAAGCCUGAUGCAGCCAUGCCGCGUGUAUGAAGAAGGCCUUCGGGUUGUAAAGUACUUUCAGCGGGGAGGAAGGGAGUAAAGUUAAUACCUUUGCUCAUUGACGUUGCCCGCAGAAGAAGCACCGGCUAACUCCGUG